ACGAACGCUGGCGGCAUGCCUAACACAUGCAAGUCGAACGAGACCUUCGGGUCUAGUGGCGCACGGGUGCGUAACGCGUGGGAAUCUGCCCUUGGGUACGGAAUAACAGCGAGAAAUUGCUGCUAAUACCGUAUAAUGACGUAAGUCCAAAGAUUUAUCGCCCAGGGAUGAGCCCGCGUAGGAUUAGCUUGUUGGUGAGGUAAAAGCUCACCAAGGCGACGAUCCUUAGCNGGUCUGAGAGGAUGAUCAGCCACACUGGGACUGAGACACGGCCCAGACUCCUACGGGAGGCAGCAGUGGGGAAUAUUGGACAAUGGGCGAAAGCCUGAUCCAGCAAUGCCGCGUGAGUGAUGAAGGCCUUAGGGUUGUAAAGCUCUUUCAGCUCCGACGAAGCGAGAGUGACGGUAGGAGCAGAAGAA
RNAcentral lists this ribosomal RNA (419 nucleotides) under uncultured bacterium. RNAcentral describes it as "bacterial SSU rRNA". It matches the Rfam family "Bacterial small subunit ribosomal RNA", at positions 29 to 489 of the family's 1533-position model. The record is from RNAcentral.